RNAcentral lists this ribosomal RNA (253 nucleotides) under uncultured bacterium. Its description in RNAcentral is "partial 16S ribosomal RNA". It matches the Rfam family "Bacterial small subunit ribosomal RNA", at positions 524 to 776 of the family's 1533-position model. The record is from RNAcentral.
UACGUAGGGGGCAAGCGUUGUCCGGAUUUAUUGGGCGUAAAGAGCGUGUAGGCGGUUUGGUAGGUCCGCUGUGAAAACUCGAGGCUCAACCUCGAGACGCCGGUGGAAACCAUCAGGCUAGAGUCCGGAAGAGGAGAGUGGAAUUCCUGGUGUAGCGGUGAAAUGCGCAGAUAUCAGGAGGAACACCAAUGGCGAAGGCAGCACUCUGGGACGGUACUGACGCUGAGACGCGAAAGCGUGGGGAGCAAACAGG